CCUACGGGCGGCAGCAGUGGGGAAUAUUGGACAAUGGGGGGAACCCUGAUCCAGCCAUGCCGCGUGUGUGAAGAAGGCCCUCGGGUUGUAAAGCACUUUCAGUGAGGAAGAACGCCUGGUGGUUAAUACCCAUCAGGAAAGACAUCACUCACAGAAGAAGCACCGGCUAACUCCGUGCCAGCAGCCGCGGUAAUACGGAGGGUGCGAGCGUUAAUCGGAAUUACUGGGCGUAAAGCGCGCGUAGGUGGCUUGAUAAGCCGGUUGUGAAAGCCCCGGGCUCAACCUGGGAACGGCAUCCGGAACUGUCAAGCUAGAGUGCAGGCGAGGAAGGUAGAAUUCCCGGUGUAGCGGUGAAAUGCGUAGAGAUCGGGAGGAAUACCAGUGGCGAAGGCGGCCUUCUGGACUGACACUGACACUGAGGUGCGAAAGCGUGGGUAGCAAACAGGAUUAGAUACCCCGGUAGUC
RNAcentral lists this ribosomal RNA (465 nucleotides) under Vreelandella stevensii. RNAcentral's name for it is "partial 16S ribosomal RNA". It matches the Rfam family "Bacterial small subunit ribosomal RNA", at positions 338 to 795 of the family's 1533-position model. Lineage: Bacteria; Pseudomonadati; Pseudomonadota; Gammaproteobacteria; Oceanospirillales; Halomonadaceae. The record is from RNAcentral.